Molecule: small nuclear RNA, 186 nt
Organism: Salvelinus sp. IW2-2015
Lineage: Eukaryota; Metazoa; Chordata; Actinopteri; Salmoniformes; Salmonidae
Product: U2 spliceosomal RNA
Exons: 1
Source: RefSeq, a predicted model, not a curated record
AAAACUUUUCCAAAAAAAAAAAAAAAAAAAUCUGUUCUUAUCAGUUUAAUAUCUGAUACGUCCCCUAUCUGGGGACAUAUAUUAAAUUGAUUUUUGGAAUAGGGAGAUGGAAUAGGGGCUUGCUCCGUCCACUCCACGCAAUCGACACCUGGUAUUGCAGUACCCUCCAGGAACGGUGCACCCCCU